GGGCCCGCACAAGCGGUGGAGCAUGUGGUUUAAUUCGAUGAUACGCGAGGAACCUUACCAGGGCUUAAAUGGGAAAUGACAGGGGCAGAGACGCCCCCUUCUUCGGACAUUUUUCAAGGUGCUGCAUGGUUGUCGUCAGCUCGUGCCGUGAGGUGUCAGGUUAAGUCCUAUAACGAGCGCAACCCCUACCGUUAGUUGCCAGCGAGUCAUGUCGGGGACUCUAACGGGACUGCCGGUGCAAACCGUGAGGAAGGUGGGGACGACGUCAAAUCAUCACGGCCCUUACGUCCUGGGCCACACACGUGCUACAAUGCCCAGUACAAUGGGAAGCAAUACCGCGAGGUGGAGCAAAUCCUCAAAACUGGGCCCAGUUCAGAUUGUAGUCUGCAACUCGACUACAUG
Molecule: ribosomal RNA, 402 nt
Filed under: uncultured bacterium
Lineage: Bacteria
Description: bacterial SSU rRNA
Rfam family: Bacterial small subunit ribosomal RNA
Source: RNAcentral